Molecule: long non-coding RNA, 2903 nt
Filed under: Fragaria vesca (wild strawberry)
Lineage: Eukaryota; Viridiplantae; Streptophyta; Magnoliopsida; Rosales; Rosaceae
Description: long non-coding RNA (FVES_LNC002369)
Source: RNAcentral
AGAGAAAGUUAGUUUCCGGGUUUGGAAAGUAUAUAUAAGUAGAAAAAUGUGUGGGAGUUAUUUUUUUGAAGCCCUAAAGUUGCAGCAGCCAGUUUCCAGUUCUCUCUCCUCUCUCCCGACUCUCUCACGCUCUCAUUCUUCUCCGGUUGAUUUCUCCCUCAUCCGACCACCAAAUUGGACGCCGCCGGUUCCGUUGGACUCGUACGGACGCCCUCUCCAUUUCUGGGGCAGUCUUGCUUGCCGUCUCGCCGCCUAGGAGCCGCCACGGAGCAGCAAAGCUGCUGCUGUCUCGCCGGAAAACCGGCGAUUUCGGCGGCAACGAGAGGCUAACUUAGGUGAGUCUGGUUCCUCUCAUCCUUCUAGUAGUGGCUAGGCAUAGAUUGAAGUAUGUUUAUGAGUUGUUGAGCCCGAAUUUGCAGAUUUAAGGUUGUUUUCGUGGUGGAAGUUGCGGGGCAGUUUCGGGCAGUUUCUGGCCAAAAUUGUUUAAAACCUCAGGUAUUAAAGUUGCUCUCCAUGCUUCAAUCUACAAGUUUCAUGUUUUGAGUUUUCUCAAAUUCGGAAGUUUGGGGUGGCGCGUGAGGCCCACUCGCCGCCGCCUGUGGCGGCGCGUCCGGUUGAGUUGCAGCCCUAGUUUCCUGUGGUUAGGUAGUCCUUACUGCUGUGAGCUUGUUGAGUGGUAGUGUGGCUAGUUUUAAGAAAUGUUGGCAUGCUAGAACGUUAAGUGUGAUUUUAGGUUUGUUGGAGGUUUGAGUUAGGAAUGGAGGAUUAGAGGCAGCCUUUGUGGGUCUCUAAGUUCGACGACGUUGGAAAGUUGUCACCUCUUGAAUUAAGGGUUAGUUAAGGGUAUUGUGUUAACCUAUAGUAUUUUAGUUACUAAGGUUUUAAUUGUGCUAUUUUUAGGUGAUUUGUGAAGUUGAGUUGGUUUACCUUGGUCGGUUGUGGAAUUUGCAGCGGGAGAUUUAGGUGAGUAAACCUCACCAAGGUUCACUUUUGAACCUAAGGAUAUUAUGGUUAUAUAAUGAUAAUGAUGGUGAUGUUGGUUUUAAUAUCAUGCUUUUAAUUGUUUUAAAAUUUCAUGAGCUUGAUCGCCAACGGCUCAUAGGUAAGAUAAAACAAGUUUUCUUUAUAUUGUGAUGUUGAGAAUAAUGAUGUGAUUUAUAUAUUAUGUUGUUGAGAAUAAUAAUUGUGAUCUUGUGUUGUUGUGGAUAAUGUUGUGAAAAUUUUUGUGCUUGUUGGAUAAAUAGCCAAACCGGGUUCCAAGCCCUUUUUGGGUGAUUGGUUGCGGUUAAGAUGCUAUUUAUCAUUUUUGUAUUGAUAUUAGACAGUCAAACCGGGUUCCAAGCCUUUGGCCGGGUGAUUGGUUACGGUUAGGAAUAGAGCUCUAGUCCGUCUGUCAGUGUAGGUCAUGGGAGAUACUAUAUGGUAUCUGGGACCCAUGGGUACACAUAGUGUUGUGGUAGGUCAUGAGAGGUAUUUUAUUAAAUAUCUGGGACUCAUGGGUACAUCUCUUGGGUAAUGUGUUUGAUGUGUGGUUUGAAUUUAUUGAUCCAAUCUCUCUUGUGAAUAUUGGAUGUGAUAAAUGUUGUGUUGUUUUUGAGUUUACUCAUAUGAGCUUUUUAGCUUACCGGGUUUGUUGUUUACAACCCGGCGCACCAUUUCUUGGUGUAGGGGUUAGACCUGCAGGUGAGGAUCAACAGGGUUGAGAUGGAGGCGUAGUGGCAGGUUUUUUUUUUGUUGUUGGGUUUUGAGUGUCUUUGUAUAUUCUUUUUAUAUACAUUGGGAUAUGAAUUAUUAAACUCAUGUGAACAUUCCCUUUCUUGUUCUCAAGUUAUGUAAACAAGGAAAUGUAAUAUUUAACUCAAUUUGGAGUUGUAUGUAAAUUUACAUUUCGCAUUGAGUUUAUUUUCCUUGAUUUUUGUUGAAACAGGUUUUGGGAUAUUAAUAUUUUAGGAUAUAUCAUGCCAAAAUUUUUGAAAUUUAUCUUUCGAAAAUUGGGGCGUGACACGCUCUCCUUUUGGCUUGAACACCCUGAGAAGUUCGCCACAUCCAGAGCCAUGUUACUUCAAAGAAACGUCAAGUCCAGCACAAAUUGAUAGCCUUUGGUUUUUUUUGAGUCACCGAUGAUCAUGAGUGUGUUCUGUCAAUCUCAUGGCAUGCCGCGCUUGAUAGUAUACCACAAAAAGAGUAAAAAUAAAAGUGAUACAGAUAUAGAGUGAUGAUGUGAUAACAAAAUAUAGUAAAGUCCAGAAUAAGACACAAUGAAAAGUCUCAUAAAUAGUUCUUAUGCGUAGAAAUUUUCUCUUGACAAAUUUCAAGAUCAGACAUGUCAUUAAGCAGAUCAGUGCAGAAGUAACUUAAAACUCCAGAAUUCCCAGAGCAUUUCUCAACGUUAAGAAUCUUUCAGUGUCCAAAGUUUUAGUAAACAGGUCAGCAAAUUGAGAUUCAGUAGGAACAAAAUUCAAUUCAAGAAUUUGCUUCUCAACUAAGUCCCUAAUGAAGUGAUAUCUGAGUUCUAUGUGCUUAGUCUUUGAGAGUAACACAGGAUUCUUAGUGAUACUAAUAGCACUGGUAUUGUCACAAAAAAUAGACAACUUACCUUGGGAAAUACCAUAGUCAGAGAGCAUUUGUUUAAGCCAAAGCAUUUGAGUACAACAAGAUCCAGCUGCUACAUAUUCAGCUUCAGUGGUGGAUAAGGAAAUGUAAUUUUGUUUCUUACUAUGCCAGGCCACCAUAUUGUUUCCUACAAAGAAACACCCUCCAGAAGUGCUUUUUCUAUCUUUCAAAUUUCCACCCCAAUCUGCAUCAGAGUAUGUAGCAAUUUCUGCAUUAGUAUCAAAAGUGUAAAAUAAACCACAACCUGUUGUUUCAGCAAUAUAUCUAAUAAUUCUUUUCACAGCUUCCAG